UAAGGAAAGUGUGGGACAAAGGUAGUGGGUACAUGCUGGUAAGCAGGUUCACCCUGACAAAGGCUUAGUGGGUAGACUCACAGGUGGGAAUUUGGCAACAAAGAGAUAAUUUGGGAGACUUUGCAAUAGUUUAGGCAAGAAAUGGAAGAUGAAAUAAAUCUAGAUGGAUAGGUAACAAGAUCAGUUUUAGAUUUAGAUUGGGGUGUGUGUUGGGUUUCCAAGAAGAGACAAAUAGGCAUCAAGGGAAAGCUCUGGAUUAGAAUUGUAGCUUUGGGAUCUAUCAGUAUAUAACUGAUAGCCAUAUAUAUGGAUGAGAUCAUUUAGUGAGGGAAGAAAGGAUAGAAUAUUGGGAAACAACAUUUAAGGUGUAAUAGAUAAAAAGAACUCUAAGAUGAAAAAUAUAAGAAGGCAGGAAUGGAAGGUAAAGAGAAUAGAUUUAUGGAAGUGAAGGCGGAAAUAAGUAGUCAACAUGACAAUAUAUGAAGAUUUUUUCUUUUAAUAAACUUCUCUAUAUUACCAGAAUCUAGCAUAGAACCUGGCACUGAGUGGGUGUUAACAUAUAUCUUUGAAACUGAACUUACCAAGUACACUUUGUCAUCACUACAAUAUUAUUGGUCAGAGAAAAUCCUCAAUCACACAGAGGGGAGGACAGAAGGAGAAGGACUCUCCACUGAACACAGAACCCAACAUGGGCCUCACUCUCAUGACCCGGAGAUCAUGACCUGAGCUGAAAUCAAGAAUCAGAUGCUUAACCCACUGAACUCCAGGAACUCCAAUAAAUGACAUUAUAGACAAAGAAAUAACUCUGUGGGGAAGGAUGGAAGCAGGAAUGUUCAAGCAAUGCACUAUACUUGAAAUGUACAUUUUAUGUUGGGACUGAAGAGGAAAAUAAGGUUGAAAAAAUAAGAGGACCAGAUAGUAAAGGCCUGUAUUCAUUCAUGAGGGCUGUGGUAACAAAGUACCAGAGAUGAUGUGACUUAUAAAACAGAAAUGAAUUUUCUCACAUUUCUGAAGGCUAGAAGUCCAAGCACAAGGUAUUAACAGAUUUGGUUUCUUCUAAAGCCUUUUUCCUUGAUUUGCAGAUGGCCAUGUCUUCACAUGAUCUUUCCUCUGUGUGCAUCCAUUCCUGCUGACUAUUUCUUUGUUCAAGUUUUCUCUCCUUAUAAGGACACAAGUCAGGUUGCACUAGGGACCGCUCUAACAGCCUCACUAUAACUUAAUCACCUCUUUAAAGGUCCUACCUCCAAAUACACUCAUAUUCUGUAGUACGAAGUGUUAGGGACUCAACAUAUGAAUUUCAGAGGCAGCAGUUCAGUCCAUAGGAAAUUUACAUGCCAAGUUGAGAAGAAGGUUUCAAAGAGACAUUACUUAUGACCUGGGAUCUAGUUCUGACUGAGUCCCUUUCCAUUUGUCUUUCAGUGCUCUGUGAAACCUCUCUGGUCCUACAGGUAAUGGAGUUGAACUAGAAAAUCUCCAAGGUUUUCCUAACUAAAAUUCUAUAUUUUGGGGAAAUUCCUAAAAAUAUGAAAAUAGGUCAUAUACCCAUAAGUUAAUCAACAUCAUGAGUCAGCUUAUUUACAGUCAAUUAGACCAAGCAUAACCUCUAAAGCAGCACUUCCUAAACUCUUUUGAGAAUACUAAGAAGUAUCACUCAAAAGGUAUUCUGAGGUCAUAAAAAUCCAGAAAAUUUGCAAAAUUAUUUUGAUGGGAGGAUUUUGAGCUUUUAGGUAAACCAAGACAUUUUUUUGGAAGCUACAAAACCCCGGGGCAGGUGCAUUCUCCUUUUUUCCUAAUGGGACAUUAAUAUCUUUCACGCUUACCUCUCAAUUUGUACAACAUUUAUAAGGAAUAAAAUCAAAGUUGUUAUAUUGAAAUAGUUAAGUGUGUUAUCUGCAGCCUUGUUGUUUGUAUUCUUUUAUAAAAAUAAUUUUUCAGAGAACAUUUUAAACAAUUUGAGGAGUGGUCACUAAAAUACAUUUUAAAAAAUAUUUCAGAU
RNAcentral lists this long non-coding RNA (1996 nucleotides) under Canis lupus familiaris (dog). RNAcentral's name for it is "lncRNA (ENSCAFG00000053083.1, ENSCAFG00845024209.1)". Lineage: Eukaryota; Metazoa; Chordata; Mammalia; Carnivora; Canidae. The record is from RNAcentral.